Molecule: ribosomal RNA, 417 nt
Filed under: uncultured eukaryote
Lineage: Eukaryota
Description: bacterial SSU rRNA
Rfam family: Eukaryotic small subunit ribosomal RNA
Source: RNAcentral
UAAUAGCGUAUAUUAAAGUUGUUGCAGUUAAAAAGCUCGUAGUCGGAUGUCGGGCUCGGGGAGAUUGUCGGCCUUUGGUCGGAUAGUUUCUCCGGGCCUUUCUGCCUGGGAACCCUAUUCUACUUAACUGUAGGGUAGUGGGACGCAGGCCGUUUACUUUGAAAAAAUUAGAGUGUUCAAAGCAGGCGAUCGCUUGAAUACAUUAGCAUGGAAUAAUAGAAUAGGACUUUGGUUCUAUUUUGUUGGUUUCUAGGACCGAAGUAAUGAUUAAUAGGGACAGUUGGGGGCAUUAGUAUUUAAUUGUCAGAGGUGAAAUUCUUGGAUUUAUGAAAGACUAACUACUGCGAAAGCAUUUGCCAAGGAUGUUUUCAUUAAUCAAGAACGAAAGUUAGGGGAUCGAAGACGAUCAGAUACCGU